GUUGGAUAACUGAGGUAAUUCUUGAGCUAAUACACGCUUUUUAUACCACAUUACUGGUGCGUUUAUUUGAUUAAACCAUUUUUUCGGUUGACUCAAAAUAUCCUCGCUGAUUUUGUUACUAAAACAUACCGUAUGUGUAUCUGGUUUAUCAACUUUCGAUGGUAGGGUAUUGGCCUACCAUGGUUGUGACGGAUAACGGAGAAUUAGGGUUCGACUCCGGAGAGGGAGCCUGAGAAACGGCUACCACAUCCAAGGAAGGCAGCAGGCGCGAAAAUUACCCAAUUUUAGUUAAAAGAGGUAGUGACGAAAAAUGACAACCAAAUAUUAUUUUUAGUAUUUGGAUUGAAAAUCUUCAAGUUUAAAUAACUUGUUGGUAAAGGAAAGGGCAAGUCUGGUGCCAGCAGCCGCGGUAAUACCAGCUUUCCAAGUGCAUAAAAUGAUUGUUGUGGUUAAAAAGCUCGUAGUUGGAUUAUAAAGAUUGUGUAAUGAGCAUCUUGGAUGUUAUUUUCAUUACCAUCUUAUUUUUUUAUUAUAUUAGAAAUAAUAUAAUAACUGUUACUUUGAAUAAAUCAGAGGGUUCAAACCAGGCAUUAUAUGCUUGUAUGGUCUAGCAUGGAAUAACACUAUAGAAAAAGUUAGUGUGGUUUCACUAUCUUUUUCAUGAUUAAUAGGAACAAACGGGGGCAUUCGUAUCGCUACGUUAGAGGUGAAAUUCUUGGACCGUAGCGAGACGUCCUACUGCGAAAGCAUUUGCCAAGAAUGUUUUCAUUAAUCAAGAACGAAAGUUAGAGGUUCGAAGGCGAUCAGAUACCGCCCUAGUUCUAACCGUAAACUAUGCCUACUAGGUGUAUGAAUUAUUAGUUAUAAUAAUUUAUGCACCUUCUCGGAAACGAAAGUCUUUCGGUUCCGGGGGAAGUAUGGUUGCAAAGCUGAAACUUAAAGGAAUUGACGGAAGGGCACCACCAGGAGUGGAGCCUGCGGCUUAAUUUGACUCAACACGGGAAAACUCACCCGGGCCGGACACUAUAAGGAUUGACAGAUUGAUAGCUCUUUCAUGAUUUAGUGGUUGGUGGUGCAUGGCCGUUCUUAGUUCGUGGAUAUGAUUUGUCUGGUUGAUUCCGAUAACGAGCGAGACUUUUAUGUUAUAUUAAAUUAUAUUAUUUUUUAAUAAUAUUAAUUUUAAUAACAGAUUAAUAGUGUUUAACUAUUUGAGAGAGAGCGAUAACAGGUCUGUGA
Molecule: ribosomal RNA, 1236 nt
Filed under: Strongyloides ratti
Lineage: Eukaryota; Metazoa; Nematoda; Chromadorea; Rhabditida; Strongyloididae
Description: SSU rRNA
Rfam family: Eukaryotic small subunit ribosomal RNA
Source: RNAcentral